AGACACGGCCCAGACUCCUACGGGAGGCAGCAGUAGGGAAUCUUCGGCAAUGGACGAAAGUCUGACCGAGCAACGCCGCGUGAAUGAAGAAGGCUUUCGGGUCGUAAAAUUCUGUUAUAAGGGAAGAAAAGUUAGAGUAGGAAAUGGCUCUAAAGUGACGGUACCUUAUGAGAAAGCCACGGCUAACUACGUGCCAGCAGCCGCGGUAAUACGUAGGUGGCAAGCCGUUAUCCGGAAUUAUUGGGCGUAAAGAGCGCGUAGGUGGUUGAUUAAGUCUGAUGUGAAAGCCCACGGCUUAAGCGUGGAGGGUCAUUGGAAACUGGUCAACUUGAGUGCAGAAGAGGGAAGUGGAAUUCCAUGUGUAGCGGUGAAAUGCGUAGAGAUAUGGAGGAACACCAGUGGCGAAGGCGGCUUCCUGGUCUGUAACUGACACUGAGGCGCGAAAGCGUGGGGAGCAAACAGGAUUAGAUACCCUGGUAGUCCACGCCGUAAACGAUGAGUGCUAAGUGUUGGGGGUCGAACCUCAGUGCUGAAGUUAACGCAUUAAGCACUCCGCCUGGGGAGUACGGUCGCAAGACUG
RNAcentral lists this ribosomal RNA (580 nucleotides) under uncultured bacterium. Its description in RNAcentral is "bacterial SSU rRNA". It matches the Rfam family "Bacterial small subunit ribosomal RNA", at positions 322 to 896 of the family's 1533-position model. The record is from RNAcentral.